Molecule: ribosomal RNA, 588 nt
Filed under: uncultured fungus
Lineage: Eukaryota; Fungi
Description: eukaryotic LSU rRNA
Rfam family: Eukaryotic large subunit ribosomal RNA
Source: RNAcentral
AUAUCAAUAAGCGGAGGAAAAGAAACCAACAGGGAUUGCCCCAGUAACGGCGAGUGAAGCGGCAACAGCUCAGAUUUGAAAUCUGGCCCUCUUCGGGGUCCGAGUUGUAAUCUGUAGAGGAUGCUUUUGGCAAGACGCCUUCUGAGUCCCCUGGAACGGGGCGCCAUAGAGGGUGAGAGCCCCGUACGGUUGGACGUCGCGCCUCUGUAAAGCACCUUCGACGAGUCGAGUAGUUUGGGAAUGCUGCUCAAAGCGGGAGGUAAAUUUCCUCUAAAGCUAAAUACCGGCCAGAGACCGAUAGCGCACAAGUAGAGUGAUCGAAAGAUGAAAAGCACUUUGAAAAGAGGGUUAAAAAGCACGUGAAAUUGUUGAAAGGGAAGCGCUUACGACCAGACUUGGUCCCGGCUGAUCAUCCGGCGUUCUCGCCGGUGCACUCGGCCGGGUGUCAGGCCAGCAUCGGUUUCCCCGGGGGCAUAAAGGCCCUGGGAAUGUAGCUCUUCCGGGAGUGUUAUAGCCCGUCGCAUAAUACCUCCGGGGGGACCGAGGCCCGCGCAUCUGCAAGGAUGCUGGCGUAAUGGUCGUCAGCGG